CGCUAUCAUCAUUAACUUUAUUUAUUACCGUCAUUCAUUUCUGAAUGUCUGUUUACCCCUAUUUCAGCCGAACGUUUUCACGUUCGGUUUUUUUU
This 95-nucleotide non-coding RNA is filed under the name Citrobacter rodentium ICC168. Its description in RNAcentral is "MicF RNA". It matches the Rfam family "MicF RNA". From Rfam's summary of the family: The micF gene is a stress response gene found in Escherichia coli and related bacteria that post-transcriptionally controls expression of the outer membrane porin gene ompF. The micF gene encodes a non-translated 93 nt antisense RNA that binds its target ompF mRNA and regulates ompF expression by inhibiting translation and inducing degradation of the message. Lineage: Bacteria; Pseudomonadati; Pseudomonadota; Gammaproteobacteria; Enterobacterales; Enterobacteriaceae. The record is from Rfam by way of RNAcentral.